GACGAACGCUGGCGGCGUGCCUAAUACAUGCAAGUGGAACGCAUUUUAAUCACCGUAGCUUGCUACACCGAAUAAAAUGAGUCGCGAACGGGUGAGUAACGCGUAGGUAACCUACCUUCUAGCGGGGGACAACUAUUGGAAACGAUAGCUAAUACCGCAUAAGACAUUAUAUCGCAUGAUAGGAUGUUAAAAGAUACAAUUGUAUCACUAGGAGAUGGACCUGCGUUGUAUUAGCUAGUUGGUGAGGUAACGGCUCACCAAGGCAGCGAUACAUAGCCGACCUGAGAGGGUGAUCGGCCACACUGGGACUGAGACACGGCCCAGACUCCUACGGGAGGCAGCAGUAGGGAAUCUUCGGCAAUGGGGGCAACCCUGACCGAGCAACGCCGCGUGAGUGAAGAAGGUUUUCGGAUCGUAAAGCUCUGUUGUAAGCGAAGAAGAGUGUUAGGAGUGGAAAAUCUAACACAUGACGGUAGCUUACCAGAAAGGGACGGCUAACUACGUGCCAGCAGCCGCGGUAAUACGUAGGUCUCGAGCGUUGUCCGGAUUUAUUGGGCGUAAAGCGAGCGCAGGCGGUUAGAUAAGUCAGAAGUUAAAGGCUGUGGCUCAACCAUAGUAUGCUUUUGAAACUGUUUAACUUGAGUGCAGAAGGGGAGAGUGGAAUUCCAUGUGUAGCGGUGAAAUGCGUAGAUAUAUGGAGGAACACCGGUGGCGAAAGCGGCUCUCUGGUCUGUGACUGACGCUGAGGCUCGAAAGCGUGGGUAGCGAACAGGAUUAGAUACCCUGGUAGUCCACGCCGUAAACGAUGAGUGCUAGGUGUUAGACCCUUUCCGGGGUUUAGUGCCGUAGCUAACGCAUUAAGCACUCCGCCUGGGGAGUACGACCGCAAGGUUGAAACUCAAAGGAAUUGACGGGGGCCCGCACAAGCGGUGGAGCAUGUGGUUUAAUUCGAAGCAACGCGAAGAACCUUACCAGGUCUUGACAUCCCUCUGACCGGUCUAGAGAUAGGCUUUCCCUUUUGGGCAGAGGAGACAGGUGGUGCAUGGUUGUCGUCAGCUCGUGUCGUGAGAUGUUGGGUUAAGUCCCGCAACGAGCGCAACCCUUAUUGUUAGUUGCCAUCAUUGAGUUGGGCACUCUAGCGAGACUGCCGGUAAUAAACCGGAGGAAGGUGGGGAUGACGUCAAAUCAUCAUGCCCCUUAUGACCUGGGCUACACACGUGCUACAAUGGUUGGUACAACGAGUCGCAAGCCGGUGACGGCAAGCUAAUCUCUUAAAGCCAAUCUCAGUUCGGAUUGUAGGCUGCAACUCGCCUACAUGAAGUCGGAAUCGCUAGUAAUCGCGGAUCAGCACGCCGCGGUGAAUACGUUCCCGGGCCU
RNAcentral lists this ribosomal RNA (1377 nucleotides) under uncultured bacterium. Its description in RNAcentral is "bacterial SSU rRNA". It matches the Rfam family "Bacterial small subunit ribosomal RNA", at positions 28 to 1381 of the family's 1533-position model. The record is from RNAcentral.